UCCUACGGGGGGCAGCAGUGAGGAAUAUUGGUCAAUGGUCGGGAGACUGAACCAGCCAAGCCGCGUGAGGGAUGAAGGUACAGAGUAUCGUAAACCUCUUUUGUCAGGGAACAAAGGCGGGGACGUGUCCCCGGAUGAGUGUACCUGAAGAAAAAGCAUCGGCUAACUCCGUGCCAGCAGCCGCGGUAAUACGGAGGAUGCGAGCGUUAUCCGGAUUUAUUGGGUUUAAAGGGUGCGCAGGCGGUCUGUUAAGUCAGCGGUCAAAGCCCGGGGCUCGACCCCGGCCCGCCGUUGAAACUGGCAGG
This 305-nucleotide ribosomal RNA is filed under the name uncultured bacterium. RNAcentral's name for it is "bacterial SSU rRNA". It matches the Rfam family "Bacterial small subunit ribosomal RNA", at positions 337 to 640 of the family's 1533-position model. The record is from RNAcentral.